CUGAAAAACAACACAAACAUUUGCUGUAGUAAGACCAUGCAUGUGUCCCCAGACCUAGAUCUUUUCCUAGGUCUGGUUUUACAAAUGCUGGUGAUAAAC
This is a small nucleolar RNA of Octodon degus (degu), 99 nucleotides long. Its record names the gene SNORA72. It matches the Rfam family "Small nucleolar RNA SNORA72". From Rfam's summary of the family: U72 is a member of the H/ACA class of snoRNAs. The record is from Ensembl. Lineage: Eukaryota; Metazoa; Chordata; Mammalia; Rodentia; Octodontidae.